RNAcentral lists this ribosomal RNA (1476 nucleotides) under Siphonoperla torrentium. RNAcentral's name for it is "SSU rRNA". It matches the Rfam family "Eukaryotic small subunit ribosomal RNA", at positions 562 to 1804 of the family's 1831-position model. The record is from RNAcentral. Lineage: Eukaryota; Metazoa; Arthropoda; Insecta; Plecoptera; Chloroperlidae.
UGGUGCCAGCAGCCGCGGUAAUUCCAAGCUCCAAUAGCGUAUAUUAAAGUUGUUGCGGUUAAAAAGCUCGUAGUUGGACUUGUGUCCCACGCCGUCGGUUUCGUCGCCCGUCGACGUAACCGCACGGUUAUGUGAGUGGGACGUCCAGCCGGUGGGUCGUCUGGUCCCGCUCAUGACUGGCCGCACGCCCGGGUGCUUGUCCGGCGGUGUCCGUUGGUUUGCGUGGCCGCGUGUCGGACGCGUGCGUCCACAUUCGUGUGGGCGUUCGCUCUGGCCCGGCACUCUCUCCUCGGCCCGUCAUCUAAAGGACUCGCCCCGAUCAGUCGCGUCGCCGCGUCGGUCGGCGGGGUGCCGGACCCAUGUUACUCGUCUCGGUGCUCUUAAUCGAGUGUCUUGACGGGCCGGCUCGUUUACUUUGAACAAAUUAGAGUGCUUAAAGCAGGCCGAUUGCCGCCUGAAUAUUGUGUGCAUGGAAUAAUGGAAUAGGAUCUCGGUUCUAUUUUGUUGGUUUUCUGAACCAGAGAUAAUGAUUAAUAGAGACUGACGGGGGCAUUCGUAUUACUACGUUAGAGGUGAAAUUCUUGGAUCGUAGUAAGACGAACCUAAGCGAAAGCACUUGCCAAGAAUGCUUUCAUUAAUCAAGAACGAAAGUUAGAGGUUCGAAGGCGAUCAGAUACCGCCCUAGUUCUAACCAUAAACGAUGCCAACUAGCGAUCCGCCGGUGUUCCUCCGAUGACCCGGCGGGCAGCUUCCGGGAAACCAAAGUGUUUGGGUUCCGGGGGAAGUAUGGUUGCAAAGCUGAAACUUAAAGGAAUUGACGGAAGGGCACCACCAGGAGUGGAGCCUGCGGCUUAAUUUGACUCAACACGGGAAACCUCACCAGGCCCGGACACUGGAAGGAUUGACAGAUUGAUAGCUCUCUCUUGAUUCAGUGGGUGGUGGUGCAUGGCCGUUCUUAGUUGGUGGAGCGAUUUGUCUGGUUAAUUCCGAUAACGAACGAGACUCUGGCCUGCUAACUAGUCGCAAACUCUGACGACAUCCGCAUUCGUGCUGUCGGCGACAAACACAAACUCUUCUUAGAGGGACAGGCGGCUUCUAGCCGCACGAGAUUGAGCAAUAACAGGUCUGUGAUGCCCUUAGAUGUUCUGGGCCGCACGCGCGCUACACUGAACGGUUCAACGUGUGUCUCCCCUUGACCGAGAGGUCCGGGUAACCCGCUGAAAUCCGUUCGUGCUAGGGAUCGGGGCUUGCAAUUGUUCCCCGUGAACGAGGAAUUCCCAGUAAGCGCGAGUCAUAAGCUCGCGUUGAUUACGUCCCUGCCCUUUGUACACACCGCCCGUCGCUACUACCGAUUGAAUGAUUUAGUGAGGUCUUCGGACAGUCGCGCGGCGGCGCCCGCAAGGGCCCGCCGAUGUUCGACGGAAAGAUGAUCAAACUUGAUUAUUUAGAGGAAGUAAAAGUCGUAACAAGGUUUCG